GUGUUCCAGGAUAAGCCAUGCACGUCUAAGUACAAACUGAAUGAUGGUGAAACUGCAAAUGGCUCAAAACAACGGUUACGAUGUACCCGGGAGUCCCGAUGGAUAUUUCCAGUAACACUAGAACUAAUACAUGUCCCUGCGUUUAUUAGUUUCGCACAGUCCGUCGCUGAGUCAUGGUAAACAGUUGAUCGACUCGACGUCCCGGAACAGUUUCCGCCCCAUCAGCUUCGAUGGUUGGGUAUUGGCCUACCAUUGCAACAACGGGUAACGAGGAAUUAGGGUUUGAUUUCGGAGAGGGAGCCUGAGAAACGACUACCACAUCUACGGAUGGCAGCAGGCGCGCAAAUUACCCAAUGCAGACACUGUGAGGUAGUGACGAGAAAUAAUAAAGCGGGACUUCUGUUUCGCUAUUAUAAUGAGGAAUAACCAAAGGUCAUUCCGAUUAGGAACUGAUGGGAAAGUCUGGUGCCAGCAGCCGCGG
RNAcentral lists this ribosomal RNA (481 nucleotides) under uncultured Myrionecta. RNAcentral's name for it is "bacterial SSU rRNA". It matches the Rfam family "Eukaryotic small subunit ribosomal RNA", at positions 34 to 579 of the family's 1831-position model. Lineage: Eukaryota; Ciliophora; Litostomatea; Cyclotrichida; Mesodiniidae. The record is from RNAcentral.